GGAAUUGUUCACAAUGGGCGCAAGCCUGAUGACGCAACGCCGCGUGGGGGAUGAAGGCCUUCGGGUCGUAAACCCCUGUCGAAUGGGACGACUAGCCCGCGAUUUAACAAAACGCGGGAUUGACGGUACCUUUAAAGGAAGCCACGGCUAACUAUGUGCCAGCAGCCGCGGUAAGACAGAGGGUGCAAACGUUGUUCGGAAUCACUGGGCGUAAAGCGCGUGUAGGCGGCCAGACAAGUCGGGUGUGAAAGCCCACGGCUCAACCGUGGAAGUGCACUCGAAACUGCUUGGCUAGAGUCCUGGAGAGGAAGGUGGAAUACUCGGUGUAGAGGUGAAAUUCGUAGAUAUCGAGUGGAACACCGGUGGCGAAGGCGGCCUUCUGGACAGUGACUGACGCUGAGACGCGAAAGCGUGGGGAGCAAAC
This 424-nucleotide ribosomal RNA is filed under the name uncultured bacterium. Its description in RNAcentral is "bacterial SSU rRNA". It matches the Rfam family "Bacterial small subunit ribosomal RNA", at positions 358 to 773 of the family's 1533-position model. The record is from RNAcentral.